UACCCAUGAUGUGGACACUCUCUUUGAUAUUCUUUGAAUCGUGCCCAUGCUUCACUUAGUGGCUCAGAGGGAUUUUGCUGAAAGUUUGUGAUCUUACUCCUCAAACU
Molecule: small nucleolar RNA, 107 nt
Organism: Brassica oleracea var. oleracea
Lineage: Eukaryota; Viridiplantae; Streptophyta; Magnoliopsida; Brassicales; Brassicaceae
Rfam family: Plant small nucleolar RNA R71
About the family: R71 is a member of the C/D box family of snoRNAs containing the C (UGAUGA) and D (CUGA) box motifs.
Source: Rfam